AUGCUUCCUUUUUUCUUCUGAUCGAAUUGAACAAAGCGAAGAAAAUGCCUUCAACAAAAUUCAUGAAUUAAAGUUCCAUUUGAUUGCGAUCAAUCCGGAGAAGCAAUUCAGAUUGAUUCUUGGCGAAGAUGGCGGAAAAUUCGCCGUCAUCGUCUUCCCCACCGAAACCCUUACCAGUGCAGCAGAGCCCCGCCAUGAUUGAACCUCCUUCUAAUUCGCAGCAAUUACAGCCGCUGCAAUCCCCAUCUCCGUCGCUCGACCACCAACAGCAGCAGCAGCAACUGAUGCAAUCGCAGCAGCAGCAAUUGGUACAAUCGCAGCAGCAAUUGGUACAACAACAGCAGCAGCCGCAGCAGCAGCAAUUGCAGCAGCUACAGCAGCAGAUAAUGCAGCAGCAGGGCAACAACAGCAGCGUCAAUGGCGGUAGUGGCGGUAGCAAUUUGAUAGGAGUUUCGAAUUUUCAGGGUAUGCAAAGGAAUCCUUCGAUAGCUAGGCUUAAUCAGAUGCAGCAAAGUGGUAGUAUUAAUAGUCAGUUAGGAAUGAUGAGACAACAGCACCAACAACAGCAGAAUUCGUCGGCAAUUUACGGUCAGAUGAAUUUUGGUGGAAUGAGCGUGACGCAGCAACAGCAGCAGAGCAGUAGUGUUGGUAUCAAUGGAGGCAAUAGCAGCCAGCAGCAGCAACAGAAGAUGGGGCAACAAAGCCAAUUGCAGCAACAAAUCGGGCAGCCAAGCCAAAUGCAGCAGCAAAUGGGGCAACAGAGCCAAUUGCAACAGCAAAUGGGGCAAAACCAGUUGCAGCAGCAGUUAGGGCAGCAAAAUCAGUUGCAACAGCAGCUGGGGCAGCAAAACCAGUUGCAGCAGCAGCAGCAGCAAAUUGGGCAACAGAAUCAGUUACAGCAGAUCGGCCAGCAAAGUCAACUGCAGCAGCAAGUCGGGCAACAGAGUCAGUUGCAGCAGCAACUAGGAGGACAGGGCUCGAUGCAGCAGCAGCAGCAGCAAAUGGGGCAGGGCCAAUUGCAGCAAUCACAAAUGGGGCAGAUGGCUGGUGGGAAUUUGUCGAGGUCUGCUCUGAUGGGGCAGACUGGGCAUUUGCCAAUGCUAUCUGGUCAAGCAGCCCAGUUUAAUUUGCAAAAUCAGUUUUUGAAUUCGCCACGUCAGAAGGCGGGGUUCAUGCAAGGGUCUCAGUUCCACCAGGGUAAUUCUCCUGGGCAGUCAUUGCCAGGAAUGCAAGCAAUGGGAAUGAUGGGGUCAAUUAAUCUGGCUUCUCAACUAAGACCAAAUAGCACACUUGCUUACGCCCAGCAGAGAAUGACGGCAAGCCAACUAAGGCAGCAUCUUUCUCAGCAAAAUGCACUUACUACUGGCCAGAAAUUGCAGGGGCAGAAUAUUGCAAGGACGUCAUUUAUGAACGCGCAAAUUGCUGGGCUGGCUCAAAAUGGACAACCGGGUAUGAUGCAGAAUGCUAUAUCUCAACAGCAGUGGUUAAAGCAAAUGCCAGCAAUAUCCUCCCCCAACACUUCUUCAUAUCGUCUUCAACAACAGCUGCUCAUGCAACAACAACAGCAGUUGUCUCAAAUAGUACAACAGCAAACGCAGGCCCAGUCACAGAUGCAUCAGCAGAAACAACAGCAACAGCUGCAGUCGCCAAUGCAGCAGCCGCAGCAGCCUCCACAACAGCAGCUUUUCCAUCAGCAGCAGUCACCGAGAAUCGCUGGACCGGGAGGGCAGAAAUUGGUGAGUUUGACUGGAUCACAGCCUGAUGCCACUGGAUCAGGAGCAACUACACCAGGUGGAAGUUCAAGCCAUGGCACAGAAGCUGGUAAUCAACUUCUUGGGAAGAGAAAGAUACAAGAUUUAGUGUCACAGUUGGAUUUCAAUGGGAAACUGGACCCUGAAGUCGAAGAGCUUCUGUUAGAGAUUGCUGAUAACUUUAUUGAUUCGGACUGCAGGAGGUUAUACCAUGUUAGACAGAGGUUAUUUGGAAUUGUCAGCUCUGUAUCUCGCUAUUUCUUUAAGCAGAUGCUGCUACUUGAGGAUGUUACUACAUUUGCAUGCACCUUGGCAAAGCAUCGCAAAUCUUCAACGUUGGAGGCCAAGGAUGUCUUGCUGCAUUUAGAGAAAAACUGGAAACUGACCAUUCCUGGGUAUUCGAGCGAGGAGAAAAAACAAAGUACUGAAAAUCCCCCUACUGAUGCCCACAAAAAGCGUAUGGAUGUGAUUCGUACCUUGACUGAACCCGUACAAUCUGAGACAAAUAGUGGAGCUAAGCAGAUGGUCAGGCAGGGAUCAGGAAAUCAAGUUGGUCAAAACCAUAUGAUAAGACCUUCUCCAAGCUCUGAGCAGUUAGUUUCGCAGUCUGCUGUGCCCCAAAUGCUGCAGCAGAAUACUAGAUUCUGAAGCGGUUCAUACAAGGAAAAAUGGGAAAGUUCUUUUUCGUCUUUGAUUUUUUUGAUCAUCCCUUGUCAAUGUUACGUUUUUCUGCAGUGCUCUCUCGCUUCACCACCAGCACUUUUGCAAUCUCAUGGCUCGCGGUGGGCUUGCCUUGUGCUUGGUAGCAUAACCAAAUCAACAAAUAGCUUCUUGGAAGAUAUAUCUAUCUAUCUAUCUAUAUAUAGUAAUUUAAGUGUUUACCAUCUUUUUUCGAAGUUAAAUAAAAUGGUGAAUUUUGCCAUGAUUCAAGUUUGCUUUGGACACUCGUGAAUUUGCAGGAUUCUGUUAUGUACAUAUCUUUCCAUAGUAAUAUAGUAUGAUUGAUUUCAGUUA
RNA transcript from Salvia splendens (bonfire salvia), 2765 nucleotides. It is a transcript of the gene named transcription initiation factor TFIID subunit 12b, with no coding region annotated. Lineage: Eukaryota; Viridiplantae; Streptophyta; Magnoliopsida; Lamiales; Lamiaceae. The record is from RefSeq and is a predicted model, not a curated record. The transcript has 11 exons.